CAAGUACUUCACCUUCGAUUUGCUGAAUAUGGAGAAAAACAACAAGAGGAGCUUCGGCGACGAGAGGAAGAGAUCAAAGCACUUCACCUUCGAUUUGCUGAAUAUGGAGAUAAACAACAAGAGGCGCUUCUGCGACGAGAGGAAGAGAUCCAAGGACUUCACCUUCGAUUUGCUGAAUAUGGAGAUAAACAACAAGAGGCGCUUCUGCGACGAGAGGAAGAGAUCCAAGGACUUCACCUUCGAUUUGCUGAAUAUGGAGAUAAACAACAAGAGGCGCUUCUGCGACGAGAGGAAGAGAUCGAAGCGCUUCACCUUCGAUUUGCUGAAUAUGGACAUAUACAUCAAGAGGCGCUUCUGCGACGAGAGGAAGAGAUCGAAGCGCUUCACCUUCGAUUUGCUGAAUAUGGACAUAAACAUCAAGAGGCGCUUCUGCGACGAGAGGAAGAGAUCGAAGGACUUCACCUUCAAUUUGCUGAAUAUGGACAUAAACAAGAAGAGGAGCGUCGGCGACGAGAGGAAGAGAUCAAAGCAUUUCACCUUCAAUUUGCUGAAUAUGGACAUAAACAACAAGAGGCGCUUCUGCGACGAGAGGAAGAGAUCGAAGCGCUUCACCUUCGAUUUGCUGAAUAUGGACAUAAACAAGAAGAGGAGCGUCGGCGACGAGAGGAAGAGAUCAAAGCAUUUCACCUUCAAUUUGCUGAAUAUGGACAUAAACAACAAGAGGCGCUUCUGCGACGAGAGGAAGAGAUCGAAGGACUUCACCUUCGAUUUGCUGAAUAUGGACAUAAACAUCAAGAGGCGCUUCUGCGACGAGAGGAAGAGAUCCAAGGACUUCACCUUCGAUUUGCUGAAUAUGGACAUAAACAAGAAGAGGAGCGUCGGCGACGAGAGGAAGAGAUCAAAGCACUUCACCUUCAAUUUGCUGAAUAUGGACAUAAACAACAAGAGGCGCUUCUGCGACGAGAGGAAGAGAUCGAAGGACUUCACCUUCGAUUUGCUGAAUAUGGACAUAAACAUCAAGAGGCGCUUCUGCGACGAGAGGAAGAGAUCCAAGGACUUCACCUUCGAUUUGCUGAAUAUGGACAAAAACAAGAAGAGGAGCGUCGGCGACGAGAGGAAGAGAUCAAAGCACUUCACCUUCAAUUUGCUGAAUAUGGACAUAAACAACAAGAGGAGCAUCGGCGACGAGAGGAAGAGAUCCAAGGACUUCACCUUCAAUUUGCUGAAUAUGGACAUAAACAACAAGAGGAGCUUCGGCGACGAGAGGAAGAGAUCCAAGGACUUCAC
Molecule: long non-coding RNA, 1287 nt
Filed under: Cicer arietinum (chickpea)
Lineage: Eukaryota; Viridiplantae; Streptophyta; Magnoliopsida; Fabales; Fabaceae
Description: long non-coding RNA (CARI_LNC000298)
Source: RNAcentral